UUUUGCUUUGCACACCCGAUUUUGGGUCUGUAGCUCAGUUGGUUAGAGCGCACCCCUGAUAAGGGUGAGGUCGGCAGUUCGAAUCUGCCCAGACCCACCAGUUACCUGGUGAAGUUGGUCAGAGCGCGUACGACACCCGGAUACGGGGCCAUAGCUCAGCUGGGAGAGCGCCUGCCUUGCACGCAGGAGGUCAGCGGUUCGAUCCCGCUUGGCUCCACCACUUACUGCUUCUGUUUGAAAGCUUAGAAAUGAGCAUUCCAUCCUGAUUGAAGGGUGCGUG
Molecule: transfer RNA, 280 nt
Filed under: Pseudomonas syringae pv. actinidiae
Lineage: Bacteria; Pseudomonadati; Pseudomonadota; Gammaproteobacteria; Pseudomonadales; Pseudomonadaceae
Description: partial 16S-23S ribosomal RNA intergenic spacer
Rfam family: tRNA (bases 24-97)
Source: RNAcentral